This 285-nucleotide long non-coding RNA is filed under the name Ananas comosus (pineapple). RNAcentral describes it as "long non-coding RNA (ACOM_LNC012556)". Lineage: Eukaryota; Viridiplantae; Streptophyta; Magnoliopsida; Poales; Bromeliaceae. The record is from RNAcentral.
CUCUCUCUACUCUCCUCUCUCAUUUUUCUCUCUCUACUCUCUCUCUCUAUACUACUAUAACAAAACAGCGGCUCAGAAGCGAAAAAUUCUAGAAUGCAACGGAUAUAUUAGUGACGUGGCGUAACAAACCAAUCAAAUUAAUCCUUUUAAAAAUAUAUGUCCCAUCAUGAUUGUAAAAAAGUAUUUUUAUUGUAUUUUUGUUUGAAAAGAAGAAAUGUGAUUGGCUUGUUACUGAUGACGUGGUGCAAGUGUGACAGUGUAGAAUUCCUCCUCAGAAGCAGACGA